This 253-nucleotide ribosomal RNA is filed under the name uncultured bacterium. Its description in RNAcentral is "partial 16S ribosomal RNA". It matches the Rfam family "Bacterial small subunit ribosomal RNA", at positions 524 to 776 of the family's 1533-position model. The record is from RNAcentral.
UACGAAGGGGGCUAGCGUUGCUCGGAAUCACUGGGCGUAAAGGGUGCGUAGGCGGGUUUUUAAGUCAGGGGUGAAAUCCUGGAGCUCAACUCCAGAACUGCCUUUGAUACUGAAGAUCUCGAGUCCGGGAGAGGUGAGUAGAACUGCGAGUGUAGAGGUGAAAUUCGUAGAUAUUCGCAAGAACACCAGUGGCGAAGGCGGCUCACUGGCCCGGUACUGACGCUGAGGCACGAAAGCGUGGGGAGCAAACAGG